Molecule: long non-coding RNA, 2169 nt
Organism: Macaca mulatta (Rhesus monkey)
Lineage: Eukaryota; Metazoa; Chordata; Mammalia; Primates; Cercopithecidae
Source: RefSeq, a predicted model, not a curated record
GAUCCACCCGCCUCGGCCUCCCAAAGUGCUGGGAUGACAGGCGUGAGCCACGGCGCCCGAGAGGCCGCUGCUCUUACCGAAGUGCAGGAAGACCUUCUGCUCUCUCCUCUCCGUGAGCAGCUGGUCGUGGGACAGGAGGUCUGCGUACUGCUGCUGCUUGAUUUUCUGGAUGAUGGUUUCUGCCUCCUGGAACAAGAACAUGCCCAGGCCUCUGGAGAGAAGCCCUGCUGAUCCAGGCCUGGCAAGCUUCGGGGCUGGGGGCGGGCAGCUGGAUGACACAGGCUGCAGAGUGAUGGUGGCAGGGUGGCCGUGACAGUUAUGGGAACCGGGCAUGAGCACAGGGGAACCAUGAGGAGCAGCUGAGGCUCAGUAACAGAAACAGUGUUGAGCCCCCAAGGGGAGCAGCCGCCUCAGCCCACUUAGCUCACAUAUCUCCAUGACCACCUGCCCCGAGCUGACUCAAGGGAUCCUCCAUCUCCUGCAGCCCCAGCCCCAGGCGGGCAGCCCCUUACCCAGGUAGGCAGAUCCACACGGUAGUUAAGAUCCCCAAACCAGAAGAGGUGCGUGAAGCGGUGAGUGAUGUUAAAGGGACUCAGCUUCUUGUCGCCCAGGGCCAGGAACCGGAGAAUGCUCAUAUAGUUUUGGUUUCGCCUAAUGCAAGGAAAAAGUGGCCAUCUAGCACGGGGUCACUGGUUCCCCCUCCACUGUGGCAGGAAGUCACUCCUGCCAUAGGUGGGGGGCGAGGAGCAUAGCAGGUGGGGGGAAGGGAGACUUAGCCCUCCAGCCCUGCUGCAGCAGACCACCUUAGCGUGCAAAUACGCUACAGCCAGGAUGCAAAGGGCAUUUGAGGCCACACUGGAUGCACAGAGGGCAGGGGCCCAGGAGUAACAGCAUCUGCACAGCAGAGAAUCAGAACAGUGAGGAUUCUAGAUGGCUGUCUUCAUUCCUGGGUCCCAGCUAGGCAAGAUCAGCUUGGAUUUGUAAGAAGGCCCCAGAGGAAACUUUCUGCUUUAGAAACAGUGCUAGUCGGGGGUCCAUCAGGCUAAUGACACAAGGAAAUAUCUUUUCUGACCUUCAGACAAAAUUCCUCCACACGUGAGGUCACUAUUGUGCUGCAAUUGGCUUUAAUGAGACUGUGGUGGGCCCUGAAAGGCCACAGGACACCCACAAGGUCAAAGGCAAGAGCUGAGCAGGUCCUUCUGAUGCUUAGAGGAGUGAGGUGUGUCUGGGCAGAUAACCCAAAUGCAUACUCUUGGGGGGAAGGAGUUCCAUUACCUGAGUUUCUUUUCACUUCCUGAAGUCAAGUGGCUGUUGACGAACCCUAAGGAGGUUCCAUUGAACAUGAACGACACCCCCACGGCUCCCUUGUUCCCUACAACGAAGAGCAGAAAGAAGAAUCAAAACAUCAAACAGACACACUGCCAAGGGGCCAGAAAUCACCCGGAGGCAGGGUGAGAGGGGCAGGUCAGUGGUUCCCAAAGGGAAACCUGGACCAGCAGCUGAACACCACCUGGGAACUUGUCAGAAGGACAGAUUCUCAGCCCCGCCCCAGACACACUGAAUCGGAAAUCCUGGGAUGGGGCCCAGUAAUCUGUGUUUGACAAGCCCUCCAGGGUCAGCGGUGGGCAAAUGCUGGCUCACUGCCAGCUACAAAUGGUUUUACGUUUGUAAAUGGUUGGAAACAAAUCAAAAGAAAAACAGUCUUUUUGUGAUUCAUGAAAAUAUGAAAUUCUAAUUUCAGUGUUCAUAAAGAACAUGUUGCUGGAACACAGCCAUGCCUAUUCACUUCUGGAUUGUCUGUAGCUGCUUUCAGACUACGAUGGCAGAGCUGAAGCGUUGAGACAGUUACGUGGUCCACAGAGCCUAGAAUAUUCACCAUCUGGCCUUCUACGGAAAACGUUUGUCAACCCCUGCUCUGGGUAAUCCUGACACACGCAGCUGAGAACCUGCUCUGUCCAAUACAGGCACAGGCCACGUGUGACUAUCGAACACCUGAAAUGUGGCUGGUACAAAAUGAGACGGGUUGUGAGUGUAAAAUACACAUCAGAAUUGUGGCCUUGGUAAGAAACACAGACUGUAAAAUAGCAAAUCACUUUUUACAUUGAAUAUCUAUUGAAAUAAUUGUAUUUUGGAUGUAUGAAGUUCAAAAAAAUCUAUUAUUGAAAUUAA